CCAAGGUUGUGCCUUGGGGUCUGCGGCCAGGCGGGCUUAGCCUCUUUUUAAAAAAAAAAAAAAGAAAGAAAAAGUGGUCUGUCAAUUUGUGAACAAACCGAACAAUAGAAUCAAAAUGAGUUUGGGAUCAAAGCGGAAGGCUCGGGACUGACCUAAAAUGGUUAGCACCCGGGCAGCUUUGGUGGCCACUCGGGACUCUAGGGGCCAGGAGUACAGAAGCCUCCUCAUGCCUGCCUCUCUAGACAAUUGUGCCCCCAUUCCCCUCUCUAAAAAGGCAAAAACUAAGACUAAAAAUGUUGGCCCAGCAGUUUCUGUGCUUACAAGGACCCGGAAGUUGUCAACUUUCCUAUAGGCUAAAAGGGAUCGGUACCACGUUUUUUCCCCUCAAGUACGAGAGAAUUGGACCAGGCAGCCUGGAACCCACCUGGUCCAAUGUAAUGUGUAUUUCAGGCUGCGGACAAUCGGUGCUGCCGGACUUGAAGCUCCAAUUCCACAUUGCAAGAGAUGCAAAAACUUUCAAUUGCACAAUGGCUAUGAAAACCAGAGAGGAUUCCAGCACACCAACAGCACUGGAAUCUGCCUUUUGAGAGGCCUCGUCCUGUGUCACCAGACACCCUAGGCCCCUCUUCCGUAACCAGAGAGCUGUGGUGUAAGGAGAAACCUGGAACUGAAUGAGAAUCUGGAACCCAGAAAGGAUUUUCUCCAAAUUAGGCCCUCCUCGUUUGCCCAGUGGCUGUGAAACACAGAACCAGCUCCAGCAUCCCUCAUUCCAAGCAGAGACUGCACAUUCCCAGGGAAGAAGACUGAACAAGGACACACAGAUUGGAGAGCAGGGAGAAUGUUCUCUCCUUUUACUAAGGCGCAUAGUGUGUUGGGAUACAUGGACUAGACCCAAGAGCAAGAGAGCAACCUAUUAUAAUCCAAAGAGUGAGCUGCAAAAUGUGGCACAGAGAUAUGGAGCGGUGGCUGAAGGAGAGGGAAGCGCCUGCAGGGCGAACCUCAGCCCCUUGGGCAGAUGCAUUUUCCAGUCUCCUUUGAAUGUCAGAACAAACAGCUCUAAGAUAAUUUCCUGCGUUUGCUCCUUCCUCCUUCCCUCCCCCCCCACCAAGGGCCAGAUCAUGUCUUUCAGGCCCAAGGGAUCUCAAGAAGGGCUUUUGUCAGGUUCUAUCCUAGCAAUAGAGGGGAAUGACCCAAGCCCUGAGUUAUGCCCCUGCACACGUUUCCCACAAAGGCAAAACAGCAGAUAUCCAGCAGGGCUCUCUGGAGUGAGACCCGGAGCUAGGAGUUUAAGCAAAAGGGCAACUCUGUCAGUUGACGGAAGCCAGAAGCAAAGUUCAAAGCCUGGCCUGGAUUUCCAUCUGGAGUGGUCUGUUCCUUAAAAGUUUGCAACUCGGUGCAAAGAAGCAGCCCCAGUGGAGGCUUCAGGAUCAAUGUGAAAGUCUAGCACUACCAUCUGACAGAGAGCUGGAAAACUUUGGGCUGCAUAUUAAGAGAGGAAAGUGGAUUGAAGUGAGAGUCAAGGCAAUUCAUUAUGUUUCCAGCUUCUAAGUGGGAGUGGCAAAAUGCGAACUGGAGUAGUAGAGGAGAAAGUGGAAUGGAGCCUGAAUUGUACUCCACACAUCUUCCUCAGUUACUGUGUACCUGACAAGGCCAGAAAUCCCAAAGGAGCCCGCCAGGAGGUUUAAAGCACACCCAGGGCACUACCAUCUCACAGAUUUAUGCCACAGGACUCAGAGAAGUGACACCUGGGAGCAAAGUCAAGAAACACUCUAAGAAUCCUGAAUUUUAAAAGGCCACAUUUUACUCACAAAAGGAGGGAUUGCUUCUUUGGUAUCUGGUACUAAAACAAGGUGACAAGAUUCUCCUGAAAUUACCACAAAAGGCAUUAUAGUCUAAUACUGCCUGGUAACAAAGCUGAGCCCUUGAAAACAACCUGGCAUUCAGAGCUGCUAAUGGUACUAACAUUCUCACCAACAUAUUCAUGUAUUUUCCAUAGAUACACAUACUAUACAUCCACAUAUGGGGUCCCCAGACAUCUCACUGGUAGCUUUCUGUCUAUUCUUUUAGAAAAGGCAGAGUAAACCCAUUAAUAAAAAACAUGGACUGGAGUUUUAUGAAACCA
Molecule: long non-coding RNA, 2122 nt
Filed under: Phascolarctos cinereus (koala)
Lineage: Eukaryota; Metazoa; Chordata; Mammalia; Diprotodontia; Phascolarctidae
Description: lncRNA (ENSPCIG00000031514.1)
Source: RNAcentral